This 198-nucleotide ribosomal RNA is filed under the name uncultured bacterium. RNAcentral's name for it is "partial 16S ribosomal RNA". It matches the Rfam family "Bacterial small subunit ribosomal RNA", at positions 328 to 538 of the family's 1533-position model. The record is from RNAcentral.
ACGCUCGACACCUACGGAGGCAGCAGUGGGGAAUAUUGCACAAUGGGGGAAACCCUGAUGCAGCGACGCCGCGUGAGUGAAGAAGUAUUUCGGUAUGUAAAGCUCUAUCAGCAGGGAAGAAAAUGACGGUACCUGACUAAGAAGCCCCGGCUAACUACGUGCCAGCAGCCGCGGUAAUCUGAGGCGGCGUGGCAAGGC